This is a long non-coding RNA of Felis catus (domestic cat), 469 nucleotides long. RefSeq lists it as uncharacterized. The transcript has 2 exons. NCBI's taxonomy places the organism in Eukaryota, Metazoa, Chordata, Mammalia, Carnivora, Felidae. The record is from RefSeq and is a predicted model, not a curated record.
UGUAUUAAAAACCAUGGAUGUGUGCCCAUGUGCACACACAUAAGCACAACCAGACUGGGCAGAUGGAAAGAGCACGAGAGAAAAACAGUAAUUUCUCUUACCACUACAGUGAGGCCUAGGCUGACAUAAAGGGACGUAUGACACAUAUCGGCUGGCUACAAGAACCAUUAUUCUGACCCUGACAGUUAUCGAGCAUGUUCCAGGCCUCAAGAUGAGUACCCCGCUGAAAAUAUAGGGUUGUGUCUUCUGAAAUGAGAAAGAGACCUUAUACAAAAUUUUAUUUGGGGGAAAAUGAUGUCAACAGUUUGACUACAUUUAAUCUCCCAUAAGAAAGUACAUGGGUCUUUGGGUCAAGAAAAUAGCCAGACCUGUUUUCCUUGCAAUCUGCAUGUCACUAACAAUUGAAAAUAGUAAGAGAGUAAAGCUGAAUAUGAGGGCAAAAUAUACUGAGCAAUACUGGUCUAAAGGA